Non-coding RNA from Pelecanus crispus (Dalmatian pelican), 534 nucleotides. The record is from RefSeq and is a predicted model, not a curated record. NCBI's taxonomy places the organism in Eukaryota, Metazoa, Chordata, Aves, Pelecaniformes, Pelecanidae.
GACCCAGGUUUCUCUUUAGUGAUUCAUGACAAACUCCAAGUUCCCAAUACCAUUCGUAAGGCAUGGAAUGAGAAGGACAACAGAUGUGAUGUUUGUGCCACGCACCUGAACCAGUUGAAGCAAGAGGCCAUUCAGAUGGUGCUGACCUUAGAGCAGGCUGCCAACUCAGAACAUUACGAUGCCUCACCAGGCUCUCCCCCACCUCUCUCCAAUAUCCCCACGUUAGUGAGUCCCCGGCACAUGGGCAGCCUGCAGCCCAGGGACUGGGCAUACAUGCCUGCUCCUUAUGCUACAUCUAAUUAUACAGGCUUUGUUGCCAACAAACACAGUGGAAAACCCAACAGCCUCGGAAUCGUCAAUGGGGUGGAGAAGAAAAAUGGCUCUCCUGGACACCAAGCCAAGGUCAGCUUUCAAAUGGCCACCAGCCCCAGCAAUGGCAACGUUCUCAACUCUGUGGCUAUCCAGGCUCAUCAGUACCUUGAUGGCACCUGGUCUUUGUCAAGAACGAAUGGAGUCACUCUAUAUCCCUACCAG